AUUGAACGCUGGCGGCAGGCCUAACACAUGCAAGUCGAGCGGCAGCGGAAAGUAGCUUGCUACUUUGCCGGCGAGCGGCGGACGGGUGAGUAAUGUCUGGGAAACUGCCUGAUGGAGGGGGAUAACUACUGGAAACGGUAGCUAAUACCGCAUAACGUCGCAAGACCAAAGAGGGGGACCUUCGGGCCUCUUGCCAUCAGAUGUGCCCAGAUGGGAUUAGCUAGUAGGUGGGGUAACGGCUCACCUAGGCGACGAUCCCUAGCUGGUCUGAGAGGAUGACCAGCCACACUGGAACUGAGACACGGUCCAGACUCCUACGGGAGGCAGCAGCGGGGAAUAUUGCACAAUGGGCGCAAGCCUGAUGCAGCCAUGCCGCGUGUAUGAAGAAGGCCUUCGGGUUGUAAAGUACUUUCAGCGGGGAGGAAGGUGUUGAGGUUAAUAACCUCAGCAAUUGACGUUACCCGCAGAAGAAGCACCGGCUAACUCCGUG
Molecule: ribosomal RNA, 490 nt
Filed under: uncultured bacterium
Lineage: Bacteria
Description: partial 16S ribosomal RNA
Rfam family: Bacterial small subunit ribosomal RNA
Source: RNAcentral